RNAcentral lists this ribosomal RNA (371 nucleotides) under uncultured Glomeromycotina. RNAcentral describes it as "eukaryotic LSU rRNA". Lineage: Eukaryota; Fungi; Glomeromycota. The record is from RNAcentral.
UUGAAAGGGAAACGAUUGAAGUCAGUCGUACCGACGAGAAAUCAACUUAUCGUGUGCGAACUUGUGGGCGUGCGUGAGUUUCGGCCUCGCUGUUUGCAUGUUUGUGCGUUUUGGGUGUAUUUUUUCGUAUGGUAGGCCAACGUCAGUUUCGAUUAUCAUAAAAUGACCGGCGGAAUGUAGCUUCGACUUCGGUUGAAGUGUUAUAGCCUCUGGUAGAUGUGGUGAUUGAGACUGAGGAUUGCAACGAAUACCCUUUGGGCUAUCCGUCUGGCCUCUGAAAGUUGCUCAGGUGCCGAAAGCGUGCUUACGGUCAUCUAAGAUAACGUUCAACAGGUUAGAACGUGAUUACAUUCGUUAAGGAUGUUGACGUA